AAAGGACAGCAGCAGAAUAGUGUGUGACAUUAUUGACGUGAACUGUUACCGUAUAGAUCAUUGUUGCAACCAGGGUUCUAUGGUUGCACCAGGUCUUGUACAGAGGAGGUCAAGUAUGAUGUCUAUGGAAAGGUUGUAGUUUGCUGGUUAUGAU
Dermochelys coriacea (leatherback sea turtle) is the source of this 154-nucleotide long non-coding RNA. RefSeq lists it as uncharacterized. The record is from RefSeq and is a predicted model, not a curated record. Lineage: Eukaryota; Metazoa; Chordata; Testudines; Dermochelyidae. The transcript has 3 exons.